UGGGGAAUAUUGCACAAUGGGGGAAACCCUGAUGCAGCGACGCCGCGUGAAGGAAGAAGUAUCUCGGUAUGUAAACUUCUAUCAGCAGGGAAGAUAGUGACGGUACCUGUAAGAA
RNAcentral lists this ribosomal RNA (115 nucleotides) under uncultured bacterium. RNAcentral's name for it is "partial 16S rRNA". It matches the Rfam family "Bacterial small subunit ribosomal RNA", at positions 355 to 489 of the family's 1533-position model. The record is from RNAcentral.